This is a long non-coding RNA of Lycium ferocissimum, 840 nucleotides long. RefSeq lists it as uncharacterized. The transcript is spliced from 5 exons. The record is from RefSeq and is a predicted model, not a curated record. NCBI's taxonomy places the organism in Eukaryota, Viridiplantae, Streptophyta, Magnoliopsida, Solanales, Solanaceae.
UCUCUAAAGUUGCCGCCGUUUCGAGGGCUUUCCAAUGUUGUGAGUAUAAUGAAAGCCUCGUUUUGUGUUCUUACACACCCGUCGAGGUUCUGACUGACCUCCUGUGCUUUGAAAGUUGAAGAUUGGCCUCAAUUAAGCUCAGGUAUGUUUCUAAUAUUCUGCUCUUCUGAUUUUCUGUCCUUUUCAGCUUCUAACUCAUGCUUUAUUGUUCGGCAUGAGCGGAAUUUGCCUGCAUUUCCAAGAUCUGGGGCUUUGCUUUGCUUUUCUUGAGCUCCGACAUACCUUCAUCUGAAGAGAAAGACUGUCCUGCUGAUGUUCCCUUUCUUCGACUUGUAUCUCUGAUAUGCUGCUAACUACAGUAUCCCCUGCUUCUUUGGUUCCAUCUUCUAUUCUGGAUUCAAAGCCCUGCAUUCAGCCUCCCUAUACCCUUGUAAUUUGCAGUGUUUGCAGUACUUUGAUCAAUAUGAAUCUCGACUUUUGCACAACUUGGCCUUGUCCUGUUUGCUGCCAGGUCUACUGUUGGUGGUUUCCCAACUACAGUGGCUAUUGAAAAAAUAGCUUCUUUGGCAAAAACAUUAGGAGGUAAUAUGCUGAAGUAGACAAGAAUCUCACAUAGUCCUCAAAUAAAGACAAACGGAUCAAGAUAUACCUUUCAUCAAUAAGGCCAAUCAUGGCCUUUCCUUUGAUGCCACAUUGUAUUGGCACGAUAUCUCUUAAUUGUUUUAUGUCAAUGAUGCCAUAAGAAAAUUUUCCCAGUACUGCAUAUUGUAUAUCUUCCUUUAAAAUCAUCUGUUGUAUCUCCUUUGAAUUCCAUGUAAUAUAUGGCUCUCCUUCUUUGAA